This 227-nucleotide ribosomal RNA is filed under the name uncultured bacterium. RNAcentral describes it as "partial 16S ribosomal RNA". It matches the Rfam family "Bacterial small subunit ribosomal RNA", at positions 104 to 334 of the family's 1533-position model. The record is from RNAcentral.
CGGGGUGAGUAAUGUCUGGGAAACUGCCCGAUGGAGGGGGAUAACUACUGGAAACGGUAGCUAAUAUCGCAUAAUGUCUGCGGACCAAGAGGGGACCUUCGGGCCUCUUGCCAUCGGAUGUGCCCAGAUGGGAUUAGCUAGUAGGUGGGGUAACGGCUCACCUAGGCGACGAUCCCUAGCUGGUCUGAGAGGAUGACCAGCCACACUGGAACUGAGACACGGCCCAG